Long non-coding RNA from Zingiber officinale, 596 nucleotides. RefSeq lists it as uncharacterized. NCBI's taxonomy places the organism in Eukaryota, Viridiplantae, Streptophyta, Magnoliopsida, Zingiberales, Zingiberaceae. The record is from RefSeq and is a predicted model, not a curated record. The transcript is spliced from 3 exons.
UAAGUAAAAAUCACAUAGAUCAUGAACAAGAUAGUCAAAACAUAGAAGGUACCUUGAAUAACCAAAGAGAUGUAGGUUCAAAUCAAUUAAAUGUUGAUGUGCAAGUGGUGGGAGAAGAAAAAAAAAUCUGCUCGAGGAUCAUGGCUUGCAGCGGUGGCAGAAGAAAUAACUUGUUAAUCUUAUUAUUGUUUGUCUAACAAGUUGAUAUGUUAUCGAUGAAUAAUUCCCUUGUAGCCUUAUCAACAAAUUUCAAUACUGAUCCUGCACCUUCUCAAGGUUCUGCAAUUGUAUACAUAUUUACAUGUGCAUUCUAGAAUAUGUUUCCAUCUCAUUAAAUCAUAUAUGUUUGAAUAAUAUAUAAUGACAUGUAUUUCCUUUCCAUGAAUGUCCUAAUUGGCUGUUGACACCUUGCAAAGAGGAAACAAAGAGAUGAAUUGCUGUCAUUGUAAUGGUGACACUUGUAGAACAGUCCACCGAAGGUUGCUGGGUGAGCACCACCUCUUGACCAAUCCACCGAAGGUUGCUGGGUGAGCAUGGUGGGGAAGUAAUGGUGACACUUGUAGAACAGAUGUUCAAAUCAAUAACAUGAAAAAAAA